GAUGCAUUUUGACGAAGAUGUAAGGAGCCAGCAAUGACUCUAGACAAACAUAACCAAAACAGAAAGUUGGACUUCACACUACCAUGUCCAGACCAAAACACCUGAUCACUGGGGAAGAGAGAUGGAAAAAGGCUUUGUGGAGAUCUAUAUAAAUGAGACACAGCAAUCAGUGUCAAAAAGGACCUGGACCGUGAUCCCCUGCAGCUAUGUGUUCUAGUAGUUCUGGCAGCAUGCUCCCCUGUCUGAGAACUAAUGUUUCAAUAUACCAGCUCAUCACCUGCUGACUGUAUAAAAACACAGGUGUUUUCUGCGCUUUAAUCAUAUGGGCCCUCGUGGCCACACCCCCUCCAUGUACAUGAUUCAGAACACUCAAUUCCCACAAUUAUUGAUUACAGAAAUUUACUAGGGGUUACAGUGGCAAAAAAGAGAUACUGGUUGGUGAAGAAAAGCUGAAAUGCUGAGCAUUCCAUAGGCUGGGCAGCGAUAUAAGUUGCCCUAGGUCCUCACAAGGACUGUUAAACCCGUGAACCAAGUAUUUGUAUUAACACCAAUUUCUUGGAACCUUAAUCCCUCAAAUUAAAGUUUAGAAUAUGGGCCUCUAGGAGUGACUAGGCUCUUAUAAAAUAGGCCUAGAAUAUUGUUUACCUGUGUGAUAACUAACAUGGUAAGAAGACAGGAAGUGGCCCUAGCUACUUGCUUAAACAGCUUCUCAUGGGAUUGCCUUUCAUUCUCAAGCUACUCAGUGGGUUGGCUUGACACACAACUACAAUAUUGAUCUGUGAAAACCUGCAGGGCUGGUCCAGGAGGAGCCCACUAAGGGACAUGAACAUGAAGCAUUCAAAAGAGUGUGAGCAACAGAAAGAAGCAUCCUGGAUGUGGGAGCUCACAAAAAUUCCAUUUUGUGGUUUGUUUCUAUUUUGACUCAAGUUCAGAGAGUUGGAAUUUAUAUUGCUCUCCAAGGUUGCAUAAUAGAAUGUUUAGGUCAAAGACAUGGUUACCAGGUAUCUUAUGCUUCAAGGCCUAAUUACAAGAUGCUGUGCUGUAAGGCAUGGUUACCAGGUGUUUAGAGAAUUAAGAAAGGGUCUACCCUAGUUUGUACUUUGACCUUGAAAGGGGGAGGUCUCUUGCAUCUCCCCUUGCUUGUGUAUAAAAAUCUCAUUAGGAUUAAGCUUGAGGUGACUGAGUAUUGACCCAAGGUCCUCCCAAAGCUAUCCUGUGUCCCUAUCUUUUUCUUUGUCUACCUCGAUAUUUUUUUCCUAUCUAGCAUUUCUCAAUUCCUCAUUUCCCCCUUCAAGAACUGUUUGAUGGGUCAAGGCUGGACCCAACAUCUGGAGAAAGGAAUAAGGAGUCCUGGAGUAGAAUGUGAACCCCAGGGCAUCACUGCUCUGUUCUCCCUGUCUCAUGGAAGCUGGAUCAUCAAUACAGACCAAGAAUUCACAAGAACUCAAUGAGAUGAAUGGAGAUGAGGAUGAAGAAACGUGGAAGAAAUAAGUGAGAGGACAUAACAUCACAAAGUCAAGACUUCUUAAGAGGAAAGUGCAAACCCAAGCAUCACUCACAACACUGAAUGAACAAAAUGAGAUGCUGAUGUGCUAUGAUGAGAACAGACUAAGAGCAAAGAUGCAUUCUGAACCAUGGGCUCUGUCUGUGUUGAGACAGCAAAAUGUCUUUGAAAAGCAAACAUGUUGCUUUCCUCAAUUCCUCUUUAUUUCCUAAAAUGUGAACAAAAAGACAAAGAGGAGGGCUCUAUUUGGGGGGUUAGAUGGGGAGGACUUUACUUAGAAAAUUUGAGUAUAUUAAUUUUUUGUGUUCACAGAAGGCAUUUGGAAGAAAAUAAAGAAAACUACUAAGUAAAACUUUGAGCCUUCUUACAAUGUUUUAUGCCAAGUGCACUGUACGGAGACAAGUCCUGAGAUUGAGCAUUUUAUUUAAGAAGAGCAGGUGGUCCAUCAUGGAAGAAAUGGCAGACUCUAGGAAGAAAGCCGAUCUUUUAGUACAACAAUUGAUUGUGUUAAUAUGCUUCUGUCUUUCUGUGUGUGUGCAUGUGUGUGCGUGUGUGUGUGUGUGUGUGUGUGUGUGUGUGUGUACAUGUGUGUGUGUUUCCUCUGGUUUCUAAUGUUCAACAGAGAGCUCAGAGAUUUUGAAGCUGUUCUGGAAUUUGCCUCAUUAGAAUCAGGAGACAAAAGGCUUGAGUGGCCCCUCAACUUUGCAAGGCCUUUACGUCCUUCAUUCCUUUCAUAUUAGCACUAGAACAUUCUCAUGGAUCCACUCUGACAUCCUGAAAUCUCAGAGCACUAAUAAAACUCAGUGGCUCUGUGCAUGCCUCAGUAGCACAGGUAAUGAAGGAGCUGCCAAUCACUUAUCAUUAACAUUUUUAAUGAGAUCCCUGAGUUACAGCUGAAAAUCAGAAAUGUUUACAUGUGCUGAAUUACUUUAAAUAUGAGAAGCUCAUGAAUUUUUCCUAAAACUGUCCCAUGGACUCAGAGCUUGAGCACUAAGCACGAUGAUAACAAAAUGCUUUGUGUGCAGGCACCUAGGGAGGUUAAAAAUUGGAUGAGGCAAUGACCGUCGUGAUGAGGUGAUAAAUAAGAUCUUGGAAAGAGAAAAACUCAACAAAGAAAACUUGCAUCAGCAAUAGUUAGAUGUUAAAAACACAUAGGACUUUCAAAGACCCCUUAAAUCUUCAGAUCCACACUGUCCUAAUGUAUAUAUUUAAAUAAAUUUGCAUAGUCAUAAGCCUUAAAGAGAUUCUUCAUAACAAUAUGCUUUAUUUAUUCCCCAACUUCUGGCUGAACAUGCCUCUGUUGGAAGCCCAGGCUCUGAGGGAAAUGGAAUACUGCUUAUUCAGAGGCUGUUUGAAUCACCUACUGUAGAGUGUUAUUAUGCAAGAUAGAUUGUGCCAGACACAGUAUUGCACCAUGAAGUUAAUCCACAGAAGUGGUUUUCAAAAGAGAGGAAAAUAAUUCUUAGUUACUCAGAGUGCCUGCUCUGCUGCUUUGAGCCACUUUCCCUCUCUUACAAGCAACGCAUUCUUUGGAGUACUUGCAAGGGCAGUGAACUCAUGACAGAGGUACAACAAGCAAGCCACAGGUAGGCUUUCAAAGCCCAGGAACCAUCAGAGAGGCAGAAGCAUCCAAAACAAACUGAUAUAGUUUGAAGAAUAACUGUUUAUUUGUCAAUCUAAACAAAAAGAAAAAGAAAUGGAAAUGUCAGAGCAUUGAAAUAAAUUUAAAUCCAACCCUGAAAAGUUUCACUUAUAAUAGAAUAUGGACUCAGGAUAUCAAAUCAGUGGUUACAUGCCGUACAGACAUUACAAGUGACUUAAUACCCCACUCUCCUCUCUCUCUCUCUCUCUCUCUCUCUCUCUCUCUCUCUCUCUCUCUCACACACACACACACACACACACACACAGACACACACACAAACACACA
This is a long non-coding RNA of Peromyscus californicus insignis, 3431 nucleotides long. RefSeq lists it as uncharacterized. The transcript is spliced from 3 exons. NCBI's taxonomy places the organism in Eukaryota, Metazoa, Chordata, Mammalia, Rodentia, Cricetidae. The record is from RefSeq and is a predicted model, not a curated record.